Molecule: long non-coding RNA, 627 nt
Filed under: Lonchura striata (white-rumped munia)
Lineage: Eukaryota; Metazoa; Chordata; Aves; Passeriformes; Estrildidae
Description: domestica (Bengalese finch) lncRNA (ENSLSDG00000013166.1)
Source: RNAcentral
GCGGAGGCGGGGUGGGCGCCACUGCCGCCCCAGGGUCACGCGUGGGGCGGGCGCCGCGGCUCGGGGGAGCCCCGCCGCCCCCUCACCCGAGGGUCCGGCAGCGGGAGGCAUGGAGCCCCGUCCCGAGAGCCCGCAGGACACCCCGAGCACGGCGGACACUGCUGCCGAGUUCCUGAGCCUCAUCGGGCUGAAGGAGCUGGAGUGGUGCCUGUUUGCUGAGACGCUGGCAGUGGUGACUCCACCGAGGGACAAGGCAGAGGGCCAGUGGUGGAUGGCAGCCCAGUGGGCACCCUACCAGCGGGAAGGUGAGCCGGUGCAGAGCUGCAUCCUGGUGCAAACCAGGUUCCGAGGCAAGCAGGAUGGUGUUCCUGCCUCCAGCACCCUCAAAGGUGAGCCAGGGGUGGCUUUUAGGGGGUUCCUUCCUCCCCAGGGCUGGAACAUCCCUGUCCACCAGCCCCCAGGGCUGGGAACGGGGACAGUGCCAACAGGAUUGGUUGACCAUGGCUUUGCUCUGGCAGCCUACGUGACCUGGCAGCUGGAGACCCUGGAGCAGGAGGAGCAGGAGUGCCUGGAGGUGAUUGAUAUGGUGGUGGCACGUCCCCGUCCCUGUGUCCUACCCGCUGCCCU